Molecule: ribosomal RNA, 401 nt
Filed under: uncultured bacterium
Lineage: Bacteria
Description: bacterial SSU rRNA
Rfam family: Bacterial small subunit ribosomal RNA
Source: RNAcentral
AAUCAACGCUGGCGGCGUGCCUCAGACAUGCAAGUCGAACGCGAAAGGUUCCUUCGGGAACCGAGUAGAGUGGCGCACGGGUGAGUAACACGUAGGUAAUUUGCCUUUGGGUGGGGAAUAACAGCCGGAAACGGCUGCUAAUACCGCAUAAUGCAGCGGCUCGGACAUCGAGACAGUUGUUAAAGCGGGGGGAUCGCAAGACCUCGCGCCUAAAGAGAAGCCUGCGGCAGAUUAGCUAGUUGGUAGGGUAAUGGCCUACCAAGGCGACGAUCUGUAACCGGCCUGAGAGGGCGGUCGGUCACACUGGACACUGACAUACGGGUCAGACUCCUACGGGAGGCAGCAGUCGGGAAUUUUGGGCAAUGGGCGAAAGCCUGACCCAGCAACGCCGCGUGAAGGAU